UUUACUAUUCGUCUUUAGUGUUUUUAUACGCCCGGGACGGGACGUAUUAUGGUAUACCGUUGUCCGUCCGUCCGUCCGUCCGUCUGUCCGUCCGUCCGUCGUCCACACUUCGGACAAUAACUCAAAAACACCUACACCAAUUUCCAUGAAACUUAAGUGAAUUGUUUAUAUCUAUUGAUGUAAGCUCCCUUUCGUUUUUUUUUAAUUUCAGAUUUUAAGUUUUGGAUUUA
This 230-nucleotide long non-coding RNA is filed under the name Mytilus galloprovincialis (Mediterranean mussel). Lineage: Eukaryota; Metazoa; Mollusca; Bivalvia; Mytilida; Mytilidae. The record is from RNAcentral.